Mizuhopecten yessoensis (Yesso scallop) is the source of this 1649-nucleotide long non-coding RNA. RefSeq lists it as uncharacterized. Lineage: Eukaryota; Metazoa; Mollusca; Bivalvia; Pectinida; Pectinidae. The transcript is spliced from 2 exons. The record is from RefSeq and is a predicted model, not a curated record.
ACAAUCAAGUGGCCAGUGAAAAUUUGUCUGCAAAUCAAGUGGCCAGUGAAGAUUUGUUCGACAAUCAAGUGGCCAGAGAAGAUUUGUUCGACAAUCAAGUGACCCGUGAAGAUUUGUCCGACAAUCAAGUGGCCAGUGAAUAUUUGUUCGACAAUCAAGUGGCCAGUGAAAAUUUGUCUGCAAAUCAAGUGGCCAGUGAAGAUUUGUUCGACAAUCAAGUGACCAGUGAAGAUUUGUCCGACAAUCAAGUGGCCAGCGAAGAUUUGUUCGACAAUCAAGUGGCCAGAGAAGAUUUGUUCGACAAUCAAGUGACCCGUGAAGAUUUGUCCGACAAUCAAGUGGCCAGGGAAGAUUUGUCCGACAAUCAAGUGGCCAGUGAAUAUUUGUUCGACAAUCAAGUGGCCAGUGAAGAUUUGUUCGGCAAUCAAGUGGCCAGUGAAGAUUUGUUUGACAAUCAAGUGGCCAGUGAAGAUUUGUUCGGCAAUCAAGUGGCCAGUGAAGAUUUGUUUGACAAUCAAGUGGCCAGUGAAGAUUUGUUCGACAAUCAAGUGGCCAGUGAAGAUUUGUCCGACAAUCAAGUGGCCAGUGAAGAUGCAUGUCUAUAAUAUUUUUUUCAUAAAUAAGACAUUUUGCAAUUAAAAUAUCACAAACCAUAUGCUACACUUUCGCUCAGUUUGCCAAAUUGUAAACAGAUUUUCAAAGUGGUUCAAACAUUUUUGUAACCCAGAUUUUCUUUAUCUAGGAAUUCUAAAGUAUAUUAUUUACAAAAACCUUUUCAACUAAAAUACUGAGCGAAACACUUCCAAACACCAACCACUCUUUAUGCUGUAAGCGGCUGUCUUAGUAUACUACAGGUAGUUGUCUUAGUAUACUGCAGGUAGUCAUUUAGUAUACUACAGGUAGUUGUCUAAGUAUACUACAGGUAGUUGUCUUAGUAUACUACAGGUAGUUGUUUUAGUAUACUACAGGUAGUUGUCUUAGUAUACCACAGGUAGUUGUCUUAGUAUACUACAGGUAGUUGUCUUAGUAUACUACAGGUAGUUGUCUUAGUAUACUACAGGUGGUUGUCUUAGUAUACUACAGGUAGUUGUCUUAGUAUACUACAGGUAGUUGUCUUAGUAUACUACAGAUAGUUGUCUUAGUAUACUAAAGGUAGUUGUCUAAUUAGUAUACUACAGGUAGUUGUUUUAGUAUACUACAGGUAGUUGUCUUAGUAUACCACAGGUAGUUGUCUUAGUAUACUACAGGUAGUUGUCUUAGUAUACUACAGGUAGUUGUCUAAUUAGUAUACUACAGGUAGUUGUCACCAAAGUUAAUGUAGGUAUUUCUAUCUACAAAAAACAUAAAUAUCAAGACUUUUGGAACAGGUGCAAAUGUUUUGUUCUCACCGCUUGACAUAUAUAAUGCAAUGAAUGUAAAUUAUCAACAAUAUAUUUGGUGCUGAAAACACACAUAAAUUCUUUGCUCUGUGCCAGUUUUUAAAAGAACAUUUUAUCUGAAGUUUUGUGCUCUGUGCUGUAUUACAUAAGAAUACUUACACAUGUAAAAAGUCUUGUGCUGUGGGCUGGAAUUGAUAUGGAUAAAAAAAUCCAUUCAGAAGGCUGUUGUGGACUGUGAGCUCCAUUGCUGUACAAUAAAGAUGAAACUGA